GACAGAGGGUGCAAACGUUGUUCGGAAUUACUGGGCGUAAAGCGCGUGUAGGCGGCUUCGCAAGUCGGGUGUGAAAUCCCACGGCUCAACCGUGGAAGUGCAUUCGAAACUGCAAGGCUAGAGUCCUGGAGAGGAAGGUGGAAUGCUUGGUGUAGAGGUGAAAUUCGUAGAUAUCAAGCGGAACACCGGUGGCGAAGGCGACAUCCUGGACCGAUAUUGACGCUGAUGCGCGAAAGCCAGGGGAGCAAACGGG
Molecule: ribosomal RNA, 253 nt
Filed under: uncultured bacterium
Lineage: Bacteria
Description: partial 16S ribosomal RNA
Rfam family: Bacterial small subunit ribosomal RNA
Source: RNAcentral